This 906-nucleotide long non-coding RNA is filed under the name Salmo salar (Atlantic salmon). RNAcentral describes it as "lncRNA (ENSSSAG00000094695.1)". The record is from RNAcentral. Lineage: Eukaryota; Metazoa; Chordata; Actinopteri; Salmoniformes; Salmonidae.
UUCCUACUUUUUCUUUCUUCCCCAUAUCGGACUACUGGUUUGAUUGAAUACCACAGGAGGACUCUGUUUGAGCAUGCGCAUUACCCUGUCAGCAUGGAAGAGGAAGUUUAGUUCCAGAAACACCUGAGCAGAACAUGUCUCCUAUUCAAACCGCUACGGAGUGUUGACAGUGAAAGGUGAAAGUGAAAACCAGAGUUCAAUGGCAACGAUCUCAGCUACUGAUCUGGAGCAGCUGGCUGAAAUAGAGCUGCAGAAGGAGGAAGAUGAGGAACAGGGUCGUCACAGCUACCGUCCGGAUCGCCCUCCACCCCCACGUAGAGUCAGCUUCAGCCAGGACACCUCUCACCCCUACUACGAUGUGGCUCGACACGGGAUCCUCCAGGUCACAGGUAACCAGGACACCUCUCACCCCUACUACGAUGUGGCUCGACACGGGAUCCUCCAGGUAAACAGGACACCCCCUACUACGAUGUGGCUCGACACGGGAUCCUCCAGGUAACCAGGACACCCCCUACUACGAUGUGGCUCGACACGGGAUCCUCCAGGUCACAGGUAACCAGGACACCCCCUACUACGAUGUGGCUCGACACGGGAUCCUCCAGGUAACCAGGUAAAUAGGACACCUCCUACUACGAUGUGGCUCGACACGGGAUCCUCCAGGUCACAGGUAAAUAGGACACCUCCUACUACGAUGUGGCUCGACACGGGAUCCUCCAGGUCACAGGUAAACAGGACACCCCCUACUACGAUGUGGCUCGACACGGGAUCCUCCAGGUCACAGGUAAACAGGACACCUCUCACCCCUACUACGAUGUGGCUCGACACGGGAUCCUCCAGGUAACCAGGACACCUCCUACUACGAUGUGGCUCGACACGGGAUCCUCCAGGUAAACAGGUAACCAGGAC